AUUAAACUCACAUCUCGAUAAGUACAAGUAUAUUAGAAAAUCAAAAGGUAUUGUUUUCUCGUGAGAUUCAAAGUGUUGUUGCAUCCUCUCAAAACUUCACUAAUGGCGACCAAAAAAUCUCCAUCUUUUAUAUUACUUUCAUUGAUGGUGUUUGCUCUUAUCCUUCUGCCCAUAAUUUCAGGAUCACAAUUAAUCAGAUUAUGUAAGGAAGGAUGUCCAGAUGCAAGAGAAUGUGACAGAUUUUGCAAAUCCUUAGGAUGGUAUGAAGGGGUUUGCCUGAAACAAAACACUCUUUGUUGCUGCAAAGACAAUUAUCCUCCAUUAUCUAGUCCUUCAGAUUAAGAAUUAAUGUCUCAUUUGAUAUGUAUCCUCAACUAAUUAUCUAUGAAUAAAAAAAAUUAUAUUAUUUAAAAUGAUAGA
Arabidopsis lyrata subsp. lyrata is the source of this 420-nucleotide long non-coding RNA. RefSeq lists it as uncharacterized. The record is from RefSeq and is a predicted model, not a curated record. The transcript has 3 exons. NCBI's taxonomy places the organism in Eukaryota, Viridiplantae, Streptophyta, Magnoliopsida, Brassicales, Brassicaceae.